GACGAACGCUGGCGGCGCGCUUAACACAUGCAAGUCGAGCGAUGAAAUUUUGACAGAUCCCUUCGGGGUGAAGACAAAAUGGAUUAGCGGCGGACGGGUGAGUAACACGUGAGUAACCUGCCUUAGACAUUGGGAUAGCCUCGGGAAACCGGGAUUAAUACCGAAUAAAAUCAUAGGUGCACAUGCACUAAUGAUCAAAACUCCGGUGGUCUAAGAUGGACUCGCGUCCCAUUAGCUAGUUGGUAGGGUAACGGCCUACCAAGGCGACGAUGGGUAGCCGGCCUGAGAGGGUGAACGGCCACAUUGGAACUGAGAAACGGUCCAAACUCCUACGGGAGGCAGCAGUGGGGAAUCUUGCACAAUGGGGGCAACCCUGAUGCAGCGACGCCGCGUGAGCGAUGAAGGUUUUCGAAUCGUAAAGCUCUGUCCUAUGGGAAGAUAAUGACGGUACCAUGGGAGGAAGCCCCGGCUAACUACGUGCCAGCAGCCGCGGUAAUACGUAGGGGGCGAGCGUUGUCCGGAAUUACUGGGCGUAAAGGGUUCGCAGGCGGCAUGGCAAGUCCGAUGUAAAAGGCGAAGGCUCAACCUUCGUAAGCAUCGGAAACUGUCAAGCUUGAGUGAAGGAGAGGCAAGUGGAAUUCCUAGUGUAGCGGUGGAAUGCGUAGAUAUUAGGAGGAAUACCGGUGGCGAAGGCGACUUGCUGGACUUCAACUGACGCUGAGGAACGAAAGCGUGGGUAGCAAACAGGAUUAGAUACCCUGGUAGUCCACGCCGUAAACGAUGAGUGCUAGGUGUCGGGGGUCAAACCUCGGUGCCGCCGUUAACACAAUAAGCACUCCGCCUGGGGAGUACGUGCGCAAGCAUGAAACUCAAAGGAAUUGACGGGGACCCGCACAAGCAGCGGAGCAUGUGGUUUAAUUCGAAGCAACGCGAAGAACCUUACCAGGACUUGAAAUACUAGCGCCCGCUUUAGAGAUAAAGUUUUUUCUUCGGAAACGCUAAUACAGGUGGUGCAUGGUUGUCGUCAGCUCGUGUCGUGAGAUGUUGGGUUAAGUCCCGCAACGAGCGCAACCCCUAUACUUAGUUACCAGCGGGUAAUGCCGGGGACUCUAAGUAGACUGCCGAUGACAAAUCGGAGGAAGGUGGGGAUGACGUCAAGUCAUCAUGCCCUUUAUGUCCUGGGCUACACACGUGCUACAAUGGUUGGUACAGAGGGAAGCUAUAUAGUGAUAUAAUGCAAAACUCCAAAGCCAAUCCCAGUUCGGAUUGUAGGCUGCAACUCGCCUACAUGAAGUCGGAGUUGCUAGUAAUCGCGGAUCAGAAUGUCGCGGUGAAUGCGUUCCCGGGUCU
RNAcentral lists this ribosomal RNA (1350 nucleotides) under uncultured bacterium. RNAcentral describes it as "bacterial SSU rRNA". It matches the Rfam family "Bacterial small subunit ribosomal RNA", at positions 28 to 1381 of the family's 1533-position model. The record is from RNAcentral.